AAGCGGAGGAAAAGAAACCAACAGGGAUUGCCCUAGUAACGGCGAGUGAAGCGGCAACAGCUCAAAUUUGAAAUCUGGCGUCUUCGGCGUCCGAGUUGUAAUUUGCAGAGGGCGCUUUGGCAUUGGCAGCGGUCCAAGUUCCUUGGAACAGGACGUCACAGAGGGUGAGAAUCCCGUACGUGGUCGCUAGCCUUUACCGUGUAAAGCCCCUUCGACGAGUCGAGUUGUUUGGGAAUGCAGCUCUAAAUGGGAGGUAAAUUUCUUCUAAAGCUAAAUACUGGCCAGAGACCGAUAGCGCACAAGUAGAGUGAUCGAAAGAUGAAAAGCACUUUGGAAAGAGAGUUAAAAAGCACGUGAAAUUGUUGAAAGGGAAGCGCUUGCAGCCAGACUUGCCUGUAGUUGCUCAUCCGGGUUUCUACCCGGUGCACUCUUCUAUAGGCAGGCCAGCAUCAGUUUGGGCGGUUGGAUAAAGGUCUCUGUCAUGUACCUCUCUUCGGGGAGAACUUAUAGGGGAGACGACAUGCAACCAGCCUGGACUGAGGUCCGCGCAUCUGCUAGGAUGCUGGCGUAAUGGCUGUAAGCGGCCCGUCUUGAAACACGGACCAAGGAGUCUAACAUCUAUGCGAGUGUUUGGGUGUCAAGCCCGAGCGCGUAAUGAAAGUGAACGGAGGUGGGAACCUUUCGGGGUGCACCAUCGACCGAUCCUGAUGUCUUCGGAUGGAUUUGAGUAAGAGCAUAGCUGUUGGGACCCGAAAGAUGGUGAACUAUGCUUGAAUAGGGUGAAGCCAGAGGAAACUCUGGUGGAGGCUCGCAGCGGUUCUGACGUGCAAAUCGAUCGUCAAAUUUGGGCAUAGGGGCGAAAGACUAAUCGAACUAUCUAGUAGCUGGUUCCUGCCGAAUUU
RNAcentral lists this ribosomal RNA (902 nucleotides) under Didymella glomerata. RNAcentral's name for it is "LSU rRNA". It matches the Rfam family "Eukaryotic large subunit ribosomal RNA", at positions 48 to 968 of the family's 3401-position model. Lineage: Eukaryota; Fungi; Ascomycota; Dothideomycetes; Pleosporales; Didymellaceae. The record is from RNAcentral.